GCAUGAUUACCGCAGUGGCUAGUGCUCUCUCCUUCCACCUGGGAGACCUGGGAUCAAAUCCCCGAGAGCACA
This 72-nucleotide transfer RNA is filed under the name Hordeum vulgare. RNAcentral's name for it is "tRNA-OTHER". Lineage: Eukaryota; Viridiplantae; Streptophyta; Magnoliopsida; Poales; Poaceae. The record is from RNAcentral.